AUACGGAGGGUGCAAGCGUUAUUCGGAAUCACUGGGCGUAAAGGACGCGUAGGCGGGUUGGCAAGUCAGAUGUGAAAUCCUACAGCUUAACUGUAGAACUGCAUUUGAAACUGCUAACCUAGAGUAUGGGAGGUGGAGAUGGAAUUAGUGGUGUAGGGGUAAAAUCCGUAGAUAUCACUAGGAAUACCGAAAGCGAAGGCGAUCUCCUGGAACAUAACUGACGCUAAGGCGUGAAAGCGUGGGGAGCAAACAGGAUUAGAAACCCCAGUAGUCC
Molecule: ribosomal RNA, 274 nt
Filed under: uncultured bacterium
Lineage: Bacteria
Description: partial 16S ribosomal RNA
Rfam family: Bacterial small subunit ribosomal RNA
Source: RNAcentral